UACGGAGGAUGCGAGCGUUAUCCGGAUUCAUUGGGUUUAAAGGGUGCGUAGGUUGUUUUAUAAGUUAGCGGUGAAAUACCGAUGCUCAACAUCGGGGCUGCCGCUAAUACUGUAGGACUAGAGAUCGGAUGCAGCAGGCGGAAUGUGUAGUGUAGCGGUGAAAUGCAUAGAUAUUACACAGAACUCCGAUUGCGAAGGCAGCAUACCGGCGCUCAACUGACGCUCAUGCACGAAAGUGUGGGUAUCGAACAGG
RNAcentral lists this ribosomal RNA (253 nucleotides) under uncultured Rikenellaceae bacterium. Its description in RNAcentral is "partial 16S ribosomal RNA". It matches the Rfam family "Bacterial small subunit ribosomal RNA", at positions 524 to 776 of the family's 1533-position model. The record is from RNAcentral. Lineage: Bacteria; Pseudomonadati; Bacteroidota; Bacteroidia; Bacteroidales; Rikenellaceae.